This 1572-nucleotide unclassified non-coding RNA is filed under the name Hevea brasiliensis (rubber tree). The record is from RNAcentral. Lineage: Eukaryota; Viridiplantae; Streptophyta; Magnoliopsida; Malpighiales; Euphorbiaceae.
AUGCCAAAUUAGAACAUGAAUGAAUCAAAUUGAACUUAACCAAGAACAGACUGAAUCCAUGCCGAAUUAGAAGACUGUUGGACUCCAUAAUUACAAUUCCUUCAACUUUCACUUGUUUAUUUCACAAAUCACUUGAUUAAUACAUGAAUGUAACCUAAAACUUGGUUUUGUUAUUGUUAACCAAGAACAUUAAUUCUUGAGCAAUUUGCUAAUUGGUAUUCACAUAGCGGCAAUCCUUUCUAAUCUCUCCUUGGUCAUCAAUAAGAGGAUUAUUCUCCGAUAACAACAGCAUAGCUCUAGAAAACUGAUCAUGGAAGUAGUCAUUAUCGGCAGCCAUUUUUUCCACAAAUGGAGACGUAAUUGGAUCAGAAGCCAAUUGUUGAUCAACUAAGAGUAAUCCCUUGUGGUUCAAUACGUUCUUGAAGUACAUAUUAUCCAGAAUCAUGGGUGUUACUCUGUCAUUUCUUGCGUACAGGACUGCCUUUGGGUCAGGGUCUGGAGUUGGGCACCUCCCUUUGAGGUACUCUGCGUAUUCAGGGUCCAAACUUGGAUCAACCGUAGGGUAGAGUCUUUGUACUAAAUUCACACAGUGAACUCUACCAACCGAGUGACCUCCUGAAUAAAAUAUAUUAGACCAUAACUAUAUAUAGUUUUCAUUAGUGUUUGAUGAAAUUGGAUUCAUACCUAAAAGAGCAACUGUUCCUUCAGCGUCAAUGCCAAUGGAUUGAAAGCGAGAAAGCACUAAUGAGAUGCUAUCGUUGUGAUUGGGGAGGAAAUCUUCAACCACUGCUGCAUAGCUCUCUUUGCUGUCCCUCCUCCCUGUUUUCAUUUCUAUUCUUGGUCCUCCUAACUAUAUUAUCAUCCCCACAGAAAUUCCAUGUUAAUGUUAUUUCCAUGUUUCUGAAUUCUUGAACCAGAUAUCUUUUCAAAAGGAAAAAACAGAUAUGUUGUUAAUUAGCAAUGGCCCAGGGCUAGCAGCCAUUCACCACAGGAUGAAUAAUACAUUCCUCAUCUCCACUUUGCAAGGGUAGCUUUAGUGUAAUUUACAAGUAAUUUGGAGAUCAUAAACAGCCUUUAACACAAAGGGUGCAUAGCCAUUUUCAGAAUUCAUGAGUGUAUAUUGAGUCGUCUUGAUUUAAAUAUACACAAUGGUCAAUAGUACAUGCAACCGUUAUAGUAGACAAGUAUUUUGAUGUGUGAGUGAAAGAGUUCCAUUAUUUAGAACUUAGAAGGCGUACCAUGGCGAUACCAUCUCUAGCAGAAAGGGCAACAAUAUCAGCACAAGAUACAGUCAGAGGGCAUUCAGCUUCAAGGGCAUCUUUGAUUGUGUUUACGUACUUGAAAUUUCUCAUUCCAAAGCUCCUUUGUGAUGCUUUCUCCGAUUCAAUUCCUUUCACCGUCUCCAACAACAGCGAUGCAUCACAUGACUUCACCGCACAAUCAUGAAAGAGAUUCCUAACCCAGGAAACUGCUGUAUUUCCAUGUUUCUUGUAAAGAUUGGUGACUUGCUCUUUGAUGAUCUCUUCGGCUCUUGGGCAACUCUGUGCAUAGAAGUUUAAUUGGAGUUCACUU